AAUGUUAUGCGCACAGACACUGUGUUUACCCUUUAUCUUCCUGGCGCGACUGACCAUCAGCAGAGCAAGAAACACUGGUAACAUCGACAUUGCUCGAACAUUUCAAAUCCUUGGACUGCUACACAACAUGGACCCUUUUUUCCAGUUUACGUUUUUAUCUUGUGCCCCAGAAAAACAACAUUGACGUGGAUGUAGACUUUCCGUUUCAGUUGGGCAUUCAAAUAACUAUUGUAAACAUUGCUCGGCCAUUGUACCAGCCUGCCAACGCGAAGAAGCCAAGGAAUCAUUAAGCUAUUCAUCACCGAAAGGCAAAGUCUCUCGACACCUAACAUGCUGCUUCCUGUGCGCUGCAAACACUUGUACAGCGUGUAAAGCCAAACUUGGAUUUUGAUCUGUAUUUCAUCAGGUGAUUGCGGCCAGAGCCUUCCGGCAAGGAAGUCGCCUUUUGUUGUUCAUCUUCUUCCUGGAUUAUUGACCAGUCCCCGACACCUGUUUUCACAAAUCGAUGCAAGGUGUUGCAUUAUUCUUCUCUGAUUUUCAAAGAUGCGGUAACCUUUGAACAGAAGCGCUCUCUCUAUGUACGUCAAACCGCAAACUAAGCCACCGUAGAAUUCUAGGAAUCCAGCGAUUUGCUGAAAUCUACUUUUGAUAUACAGGUGUUCCAUCGCACGAUUUUACGAGGACACCACGCAAUAACGCACUGAGCAGAGCAACGUCAUUCGGUUGCGCCCUCCGACCAACAAGAUGAUUAUCAGUAAAUUUACCUGUUAUUGCGUGUCACUAUGACAGUACGGCAGGCGACACAAGCGUUGCUAAUCGCUCACAGAAGCCGACAUCAAUCCCCUUUUUGUCAUUGCUAGUGACCCCUGUUGUUCCCCUCUUGUUAUAUGGCGAUGACAAGUGCGACUGCCUCCACCCGAUGAUGGAAAGAAGUGUACCAUCUUAUUCUUUUGUAGUAUACUUUAAGGAUAAUUCUUGGCAUAGAGUUGGUGAGUCUCAGCUUGAAGCAAGUCUCUAUCUUCUGUUCUCGGGUCUUUCUUUUCAAAGUAAAUGAAAUGUGUAUCAUAAAUAGAUUAAGUAGAGUCUACAUCCUUUGAAACGUUGAACGCAUA
Molecule: long non-coding RNA, 1112 nt
Organism: Daphnia carinata
Lineage: Eukaryota; Metazoa; Arthropoda; Branchiopoda; Diplostraca; Daphniidae
Exons: 4
Source: RefSeq, a predicted model, not a curated record